Molecule: unclassified non-coding RNA, 151 nt
Filed under: soil metagenome
Description: partial internal transcribed spacer 1
Source: RNAcentral
AUAAAAGGAUACCUUCGGGUAUACCCCAUCCGUGUCUACAUACUCUUGUUGCUUGGCAGGCCGUGGUCUUCCACUGUGGCUCUGCCUGCAUGUGCCUGCCAGAGGACCAAACUCUGAAUGUUAGUGAUGUCUGAGUACUAUAUAAUAGUUA